Molecule: unclassified non-coding RNA, 877 nt
Filed under: uncultured fungus
Lineage: Eukaryota; Fungi
Description: sequence contains 18S rRNA gene, ITS1, 5.8S rRNA gene, ITS2, 28S rRNA gene
Source: RNAcentral
CGCCACGAAAAAGGUUUUGUUUCUUGCGGGGAAGCCGAGCCAUGGCUACGGCGAACACGAGCACUACGCCGGCUGUGUCGUGCUUGCCAAGAACCUCGAAGCAUCGAUGAAGGAUUUCGACACCGAGGUCGCCCGCUACGAUUGGCCCGCCGAUGAAUCUGCGUUCAAGGACGUCGCGGCGAUUGUCAUGUAUUGUGAUGGAGGAGAUGGGCAUCCCGUCAUGCAACACUUGGCUCAAAUCGACGCGCUUGCCGAUAAAGGCGUCGGCAUCGUUUGCAUUCACUACGGAGUUGAAAUUCCAAAAGGGGAGCCGGGGGAUGAUUUUCUCAAAUGGAUCGGGGGUAUUUCGAGGCCAAUUGGUCGGUGAAUCCGCAUUGGAACGCAGAAUUCAAGACUUUACCGGAUAAUCCAAUUUGCCGCGGCGUUAAACCUUUCACCGCACAGGACGAAUGGUAUUACCACAUGCGAUUUCGCCCUGACAUGAAAGGAGUCACUCCGAUCCUGACUGCGAUUCCGCCUGCAAGCACACUGGAACGUCCCGACGGAACGCACAGCGGCAACCCAUUUGUUCGUGCAGAAGCCGGCAAGCCGCAGCAUGUUGCUUGGGCUGCAGAGCGGGAAAUGGGAGGACGCGGCUUUGGAUUCACCGGCGGCCAUUUUCAUUGGAACUGGGGAAACCCAGAUUUUCCGCCGCAUUGUGCUCAAUGCAAUCGUAUGGGCCGCUCACGGAGAGGUUCCCGAAAAAGGGGUCGACCACGUCGAGCCGAUUUCGGUCAAGGACUUGCAGCAGAACGUGGACGAAGCAGUUCCUGAUGGGUUCAACGUCGAAAACAUCCAAGCGACCUUCGGCGCAAGUUCGGGCAAAUAGUCUUGCGGU